GUGGGGAAUCUUGCGCAAUGGGCGAAAGCCUGACGCAGCCAUGCCGCGUGAAUGAUGAAGGUCUUAGGAUUGUAAAAUUCUUUCACCGGGGACGAUAAUGACGGUACCCGGAGAAGAAGCUCCGGCUAACUUCGUGCCAGCAGCCGCGGUAAUACGAAGGGGGCUAGCGUUGCUCGGAAUUACUGGGCGUAAAGGGCGCGUAGGCGGCCAGCUUAGUCAGAGGUGAAAGCCCAGGGCUCAACCUUGGAAUUGCCUUUGAUACUGGCUGUCUUGAGUUUGGGAGAGGUGAGUGGAACUCCGAGUGUAGAGGUGAAAUUCGUAGAUAUUCGGAAGAACACCAGUGGCGAAGGCGACUCACUGGCCCAAUACUGACGCUGAGGCGCGAAAGCGUGGGGAGCAAACAGGAUUAGAAACCCCAGUAGUCC
This 425-nucleotide ribosomal RNA is filed under the name uncultured bacterium. RNAcentral describes it as "partial 16S ribosomal RNA". It matches the Rfam family "Bacterial small subunit ribosomal RNA", at positions 354 to 796 of the family's 1533-position model. The record is from RNAcentral.